Molecule: ribosomal RNA, 119 nt
Organism: Cercocebus atys (sooty mangabey)
Lineage: Eukaryota; Metazoa; Chordata; Mammalia; Primates; Cercopithecidae
Source: Ensembl
GUCUACGGCCAUACCACCCUGAACGCGCCGAAUCUCGUCUGUUCUGGGAAGCUAAGCAGAGUCGGGCCUUUUUAGUACUUGGAUGGGAGACUGCCUGGGAAUACAGGGUGCAGUAGGUU